GAUGAACGCUGGCGGCGUGCCUAAUACAUGCAAGUCGAGCGAACAGACGCGGAUCUUGCUCCUCUGACGUUAGCGGCGGACGGGUGAGUAACACGUGGAUAACCUACCUAUAAGACUGGGAUAACUUCGGGAAACCGGAGCUAAUACCGGAUAAUAUAUUGAACCGCAUGGUUCAAUAGUGAAAGACGGUUUUGCUGUCACUUAUAGAUGGAUCCGCGCGGCAUUAGCUAGUUGGUAAGGUAACGGCUUACCAAGGCGACGAUGCGUAGCCGACCGGAGAGGGUGAUAGGCCACACUGGAGCUGAGACACGGUCAAGACGACUAAGGGAGGCAGCAGUAGGGAAUCUGCCGCAAUGGGCGAAAGCAUGACGGAGCAACGCCGCGUGAGUGAUGAAGGUCUUCGGAUCGUAAAACUCUGUUAUGAGGGAAGAACAAAUGUGUAAGUAACUAUGCACGUCGUGACGGUACCUAAUCAGAAAGCCACGGCUAACUACGUG
This 497-nucleotide ribosomal RNA is filed under the name uncultured bacterium. RNAcentral describes it as "partial 16S ribosomal RNA". It matches the Rfam family "Bacterial small subunit ribosomal RNA", at positions 28 to 507 of the family's 1533-position model. The record is from RNAcentral.